UACGUAGGGUGCGAGCGUUAAUCGGAAUUACUGGGCGUAAAGCGUGCGCAGGCGGUUUUGUAAGCCAGAUGUGAAAUCCCCGGGCUUAACCUGGGAAUGGCAUUUGGGACUGCAAGGCUGGAGUGCGGCAGAGGAGACUGGAAUUCCUGGUGUAGCAGUGAAAUGCGUAGAUAUCAGGAGGAAUACCGAUGGCGAAGUCAGGUCUCUGGGCUGACACUGACGCUCAUGCACGAAAGCGUGGGGAGCAAACAGG
RNAcentral lists this ribosomal RNA (253 nucleotides) under uncultured bacterium. RNAcentral's name for it is "partial 16S ribosomal RNA". It matches the Rfam family "Bacterial small subunit ribosomal RNA", at positions 524 to 776 of the family's 1533-position model. The record is from RNAcentral.